This 137-nucleotide unclassified non-coding RNA is filed under the name uncultured Fusidium. Its description in RNAcentral is "sequence contains ITS2". The record is from RNAcentral. Lineage: Eukaryota; Fungi; Ascomycota; Sordariomycetes; Hypocreales; Nectriaceae.
CAACCCUCAAGCCCAGCUUGGUAUUGGGUCGCGCCGCCUGGCCGACCCCAAAGACAAUGGUGGCGCCCCCCGGCCCUCAGCGUAGUACAUCUCUCGCUGUAGGGUUCCGUGGCGGUGUCGACACCCUAAACGCACAA